This 253-nucleotide ribosomal RNA is filed under the name uncultured bacterium. Its description in RNAcentral is "partial 16S ribosomal RNA". It matches the Rfam family "Bacterial small subunit ribosomal RNA", at positions 524 to 776 of the family's 1533-position model. The record is from RNAcentral.
GACAUAGGUGGCGAACGUUAUCCGGAAUUACUGGGCGUAAAGGGCGCGUAGGCGGCCUGCUAAGUCGAACGUGAAAUCCCCGGGCUCAACCCGGGAACUGCGUCCGAUACUGGCAGGCUUGAAUCCGGGAGAGGGAUGCGGAAUUCCAGGUGUAGCGGUGAAAUGCGUAGAUAUCUGGAGGAACACCGGUGGCGAAGGCGGCAUCCUGGACCGGCAUUGACGCUGAGGCGCGAAAGCCAGGGGAGCAAACGGG